AACAGGAAUGGAGCAAAAGGGUGAUUUUUUUGGAGGGUCUGAUCGUUGUUGUUCUGCUUGAUUACCACAACAAUAGGGUUGCUCCCUCCUGCAAAGCCAUAUAAUAAAAGGUGAAGAGCGGCGGUAGGGAACCACGCCUACGAGCAUGCUCAUGGUGGUACCUAGAUCCCAGCAAUGCAUGGUUACGGAUGUCCUCAGCCAGAGCUAGGCUUCCUUGUCGAUGACUUGCGAUCUACAGCAUCUGUGCAGGAUUGUUGCUUGGUUGGAUAUAGAAACAAAUGAAGAUGUGGAAAGGAUUCUUGAGGGGAACAGUUCAUCACGGGGCGCUAUUUCCAGGGCCAAAUUGCGGUGUUGGUGUUGCUUCACAGGUUUGGUACAAGAAGUGAGGAUAGGAAGUGGCUUGUUCGGUUGGGUAUGUCUAAACUAAAGGAGUUGUAAGUGACCCUGCAAUAUGUAAUUUUGGCCAUGUCAAGAUUGUCUCAACUAAUGACUGAACUUUAUCUUGUCAUUUUGCAGCUUGGAUUUUCCAUUAAGCUUGGUGAAGUAUAUUAUGUUAGUGGACGAACAGAAUACCAUGGAUGUCUUUGCUACUUUGGAGGCAAUUCUUUUUGUGGGUUCACCUCUUGUGAUUAUCUAUAUGAGACAUGCGUAGUAUUUUGGUAGAUCCAAUUGUUACAGAAAAAAAGGAUAUUUUGGCAGUAUUUCUUCAGCUCCAUUGAAUAGCAAGGCGUCGGUGUAGGCCUGCAACGGCGGUGACAGAAGGAAGACUGUGAUUGAUCUUGAGAUUGCCUUGACCCCUGUGUCGUUUCGGCUGCUGAAUAGAAGAGCUCUAUCUUGAGAAUUCAAGGACCCCUGGGUUGAUGAGGACUCGGCCAGGGAAUGCAUUCGUUGCUGGAAGCUACUAUUUAACAGGGACACAAGUAACAACAGGAUUCCACAUGUGAAUAAGGAUUGGAACGUGAAUGUCGACGCGAGCUCAAUACACUAUGAUCUGACCAUCUACAACAUCCAACCGUGUUUGACCCUUCCAGGUUCAAUCUGCAGAACAUGCGCGAGAAAAAUAAUCCAGGAAAAAGAAGUGCUUAACAUUGUUCUAACAGCAACUCAGCCAAUUUUACAAUACCUGGCUGGCUCAUCAGAUCCCAAGCAACUCCCCUUCAUUUUAGCCGGGAACAAGGUUUAUGUAGACACUGGAAGAAGACGAGUGGAAAAAAUGAAAGAGAAAAGAGAAUGGGCAAUUAUGACAGAAGCACGGACAUCGUGAAUCAAUGCAUAAGGCAGGUUGUAUCACUUUUCUUGAUCUGGUUGAUGGUUAGUAUUCUCUUGUUAGAAGUCGCAUCUUUGAUGUCGGGGCCUGGGAUUUUUUUUUAAUAUGCUAAUGGUCAGCCUGGAAGUCCGUGACAUGUUUUCAUAGACUGUGGUAGACCAGUUAUUAAGUGGCAUACUUUCUUCCUUGGUUUCUAUUUUAGUUCUCAGAUGUCCUCAAUAUUGCUUUGCUUCGCCAUAUCGGCUCACACUCUUGAUGCUCGAAAGCUAUUAUUUCAAAACUAUGCUCUAUCUUCAAAAGUUCGGAUGUUUGUUUAUGCUUUCUGUUUCUUCUGUUUUGGCAGGAAGCUAUUUUAAUCGUUUCUUUUGCAACAACAAGUUAAAAACUUUGUUCUUUAUAAAAUUGACCAGGAUUUGUAAACCAAUACAUUAUUAACAGUAGUUGGUGGGACCUGAAAUGUAGUAUACCUAAUU
Non-coding RNA from Lolium perenne, 1740 nucleotides. NCBI's taxonomy places the organism in Eukaryota, Viridiplantae, Streptophyta, Magnoliopsida, Poales, Poaceae. The record is from RefSeq and is a predicted model, not a curated record.